Molecule: ribosomal RNA, 477 nt
Filed under: uncultured bacterium
Lineage: Bacteria
Description: partial 16S ribosomal RNA
Rfam family: Bacterial small subunit ribosomal RNA
Source: RNAcentral
GAUGAACGCUGGCGGCGUGCCUAACACAUGCAAGUCGAACGAAGCACCUUACCUGAUUCUUCGGAUGAAAGUUUGGUGACUGAGUGGCGGACGGGUGAGUAACGCGUGGGUAACCUGCCCUGUACAGGGGGAUAACAGCUGGAAACGGCUGCUAAUACCGCAUAAGCGCACGAGGAGACAUCUCCUUGUGUGAAAAACUCCGGUGGUACAGGAUGGGCCCGCGUCUGAUUAGCUGGUUGGCAGGGUAACGGCAUACCAAGGCAACGAUCAGUAGCCGGUGUGAGAGGAUGAACGGACACACUGGAACUGAGACACGGUCCAAACUCCUACGGGAGGCAGAAGUGGGGAAUAUUGCACAAUGGGGGAAACCCUGAUGCAGCAACGCCGCGUGAGUGAAGAAGUAUUUCGGUAUGUAAAGCUCUAUCAGCAGGGAAGAUAAUGACGGUACCUGACGAAGAAGCUCCGGCUAAAUACGUG